AAUCAACGCUGGCGGCGUGCCUAACACAUGCAAGUCGCACGAGAAAGGGUAGCAAUACCUGAGUACAGUGGCGCACGGGUGAGUAACACGUGAAUUAUCUACCUCCGAGUGGGGAAUAACUGAGAGAAAUCUUAGCUAAUACCGCAUAACACUUACGAGUCAAAGCAGCAAUGCGCUUGGAGAGGAGUUCGCGGCAGAUUAGUUAGUUGGCGGGGUAANGGCCCACCAAGACGAUGAUCUGUAUCCGGCCUGAGAGGGCGCACGGACACACUGGAACUGAAACACGGUCCAGACUCCUACGGGAGGCAGCAGUGGGGAAUUUUGCGCAAUGGGGGAAACCCUGACGCAGCAACGCCGCGUGGAGGAUGAAAUAUCUUGGUAUGUAAACUCCUUUCGA
This 397-nucleotide ribosomal RNA is filed under the name uncultured bacterium. Its description in RNAcentral is "bacterial SSU rRNA". It matches the Rfam family "Bacterial small subunit ribosomal RNA", at positions 32 to 439 of the family's 1533-position model. The record is from RNAcentral.